CUGAUAUAAAUCCUUCAUCCUUUUCGUGGAAUAUCAGAUAAGUAGCACUAAAGCUGUGAAACCAAUGAAGG
This 71-nucleotide non-coding RNA is filed under the name unclassified sequences. The record is from RNAcentral.